GAAGACAUAGCUUAAGUGGUAGAGCAUUUGACUAACAAACAUGAGACCUUGAGUUCCAAUCUCAAUGUAACCA
RNAcentral lists this transfer RNA (73 nucleotides) under Dipodomys ordii (Ord's kangaroo rat). It matches the Rfam family "tRNA". From Rfam's summary of the family: Transfer RNA (tRNA) molecules are approximately 80 nucleotides in length. Their secondary structure includes four short double-helical elements and three loops (D, anti-codon, and T loops). Lineage: Eukaryota; Metazoa; Chordata; Mammalia; Rodentia; Heteromyidae. The record is from Rfam by way of RNAcentral.